CUUGAACAGAACAGGAGCGUAGAACAUGAUGACAUUGAUGCCGGUUAGUUGCUGGAAGAAUGGGAUUAAAGCGCACAUCACGAGUUGAGGUCUUGGAACUCCUCUUGGACAUCGUCGGUACCACGAACUUUCUGUAGCAUCUUCUUAGCCUUCUCUGUGUAUCCUCUUUCGAGAAUGGAGUUAGGAGUAUCGGGAAGGAAGAAGGAUCCGACGGUCAUCAUCACGGCGGGGACUGCGGCGAGAGCCAGUGAGACUCUCCAUCCCCAUCCGCCUACGAUUUUGGCUGUACCGACAUUUACAAGAUUCGCCACCAAGAUGCCGAUUGUGAUGGCCAUUUGGAAGCCCAUGUUCAGAGCACCUCUGAUUUUGGCUGGUGCCAUUUCAGAAAGCAUACCUGAUUGGCAAAUCCAACACCAACGCCAAGCAACAAACGGCCAAUGAUGAGCAGUGCAAUGCUAUUAGCAACACCAUUGAGAAUGGAACCAAAUAAGAAGGAAAGACCUCCAAUAAACAUGGAUGGUUUGCGGCCAAAUUUCCGGGUAAUGACGGACGCGGCGAAGGAAGCCACCAGAGCAGCAAGGUAAAGGGAAGAGGAGCUGCAUCAACAUGCGAAGCAUGGGGGCCGGAUCCCCUGCGCAGUCAUGUAAUCUUUCUGGGAGUUUGGAGCCCAAUCAAUCGGGUCGUGUAGGUGUCUGUCAGGCUUGUUGAAAGCAUCUGGCCAGGUGCAUUCCGAGUUGACCAAACUACAGAUUAGCAGGUUAUCCUCAUCUCCAAGCUCUUCAUAAUAAUACUACAUACAACCAGCUUCCUUCUAAACACAUUCCUGUUUGUAGGGAGAAUGUUUUGAGACUUGAAUCUUGAUGGUAUAUAAAUAUUCCAUAAGGAAGCAUAGGUUGUGGAGGUGAGUUUAUAACCACUCUUCACUAUAUAUUCACUAUAUAUAUAAUUGCUAAAGAAACGCCUUCCCAUUGGAAUAUUCAAGAUGUGGUUUCUAUC
Cucurbita pepo subsp. pepo (vegetable marrow) is the source of this 996-nucleotide long non-coding RNA. RefSeq lists it as uncharacterized. The record is from RefSeq and is a predicted model, not a curated record. NCBI's taxonomy places the organism in Eukaryota, Viridiplantae, Streptophyta, Magnoliopsida, Cucurbitales, Cucurbitaceae.